This 2047-nucleotide unclassified non-coding RNA is filed under the name Hevea brasiliensis (rubber tree). The record is from RNAcentral. Lineage: Eukaryota; Viridiplantae; Streptophyta; Magnoliopsida; Malpighiales; Euphorbiaceae.
CAAUAGUCUUUGCAUUGCAUCUUAACAGAUCCUCAAGAUUCCAUUGCAUUUCUAAACUUACUCCAAUCUGUCUGCUGUUAUCCUGUUGGAAUUUGGAGCGCUUCCAAUCAUAAAACCAAUACGGAAGGAAAACAGUCUGAUGGUAACACAAAGCAGUGACCCAAAUAGAAAGAAUUACCACCAGCAUUUUGCCUUCCAAAGCAGUAAAUCAAUUCAUAAGUUCUGAAAGUUGACAUGGUCAUUUUGCAUCAGUUAAUUUCUAGUCCUCAAAGCAUUUACAUGGAAAUGGAAGGGAAACAACUACAGGACAGAAAACCAAAGUUGAUAAUUGACAAAAUAAAAAUACCAAUAGACAAGGUAACCAAUUCCUAGCUAGAAGUCCAAACGUAAACCUGGCCCCCAGUAGUUGCUCCUGCUAGCAUUCCGACCUUGCAAGGAUGUGCAUCAAAUCUGCAUGGAAUAGCAGACAUGUGGGAACUUUGUAGAGUCAAAAUUGAUCUUCUUUGUGAGCAAGAGAUGACAUCAACUCCUCGUUUCAUAUUGCCAAUGAAGAUAGAUGAAUCAUCCCAACCCCAUAUUCCUCUGAAAGGAGAAAGCCAUCUGCCUGUCUGAUUAUAAUGGUAUAUCAUAGAAGUGUCCUCAAAAUUAACACCACCUAGUAUACCGACAGUGUUGUCAGCACUUGUUGUUGCUAGGAAGCUUCCAGAAGGUGAGAAGUAAGCAGAAUGCACAGCCCUAUUAUGGUUUAGUAUCUUUAAACUUUUCGCCUUAUCUGCAUUUACACUUCUUAAAUCCCAGAGGCAAGCAGUCCCAUCUGUGGAACUAGUGGCCAUAAUGUUAGGAUUUUGUGAAUUGAAAUCUAUGGAGUUGAUUCUGUCUUCAUGCAGAAUCCACUGGGAGGAAAAUCUUCCUGUCCUCUCAUCCCAGAUAUUCAAUCCUCCACCACGACCCUCACCAAAAUAUAAGCCAUUCAUGUCAUUUGGUCGUUGGGAGAGUGAAAAUAUAGCAUCAUCACCUGAGUAUACCAGAUCAAAUACUUCCUUCUCAGCAUUCAUCAACCGAAGAAAGCCAUCAUAGCAGCUGGUAUAGAUCUUGGACAAGCAAGAUUGCUGACACAAAAUCCCCGAAAUGGGACCAGUGUGGUGGCGAUACAAAAAUAUCCCAUCCCCCUCUUCCCCUUUACUAUCCAUAUUCCAAAAUGCAACGUUGCCAAACUUAUUCCCUGCGACAAUCAUCCUCACAUCAUUACAAGGCAAAAACCUCACUGCCAUUAUCCUCCCUGGCAAAACUCUUGCUAUAUUCUCCUUUUUCAAGCCCAUUGACCACACAUCAACACAACUCUCAGUUUCCUUAUCGUCUAUCUUAAUUCCAUAGUCCAAAUACUCAUCUUUAACCACACCCUUAACUGAAUCAUGCGAAAUUCCAUCACUUUGCUCCAUCUUUACAGCCUCACAUCUAUCAAAUUUCUUUUUAAUUGAAACAUCCACUUGGGGCUUCUUUUCAAGAAACAGAAUCGUGUCUAUUAGAGCUCGAUCAGACUCUGUUCCACUGUAGGCAUCCCUCAUACUAAGCGGUCCCAUAACACGCGGCGAAGGCCUUGGUUUACUGAUUCGCGUCGGACUUCUAUCAGGAGUCUCAACAGAGUAAUCUAAACCUCCUGAAUCAGGCGGCAUUCCUCUCGUGCGUAGUGACCGCCGAAUGACAAUCGGGGACUGGGAUUUGGCGACUUUCUUCUCUGGACUCAAUUUAUAGGACUUGGAUAAUCCAACUUUUUGGCGCUUGGUAGCUGCAGAGAGUUGAGAGACAGUCGAGUGGAUCUUGAGGGCGGCCAUCAUUUGGUCGUUCCGACGAAUGUUUUCGAGCCUCUUCUUCUCGUAUUCUGUUAGCUUUGGAGGCGCCAUUGAUGCCGGUAGAGAGAGGGUUUUGGCACUGGUGUGGCUGGUGGCGGUGGCCGUGUUUUAUUUAUAUUAAUUGCGCGGUCAGAUGAUUUUUGGCGGGAAAUAAAAUUUCAUGACAUACGUGGCGGCUUGUUGGCCGUUCAAUUUUG